CAGCCGCCACGGUAACACGUAGGUGGCAAGCGUUGUCCGGAAUUAUUGGGCGUAAAGGGCUCGCAGGCGGUUUCUUAAGUCUGAUGUGAAAGCCCCCGGCUCAACCGGGGAGGGUCAUUGGAAACUGUGAAACUUGAGUGCAGAAGAGGAGAGUGGAAUUCCACGUGUAGCGGUGAAAUGCGUAGAGAUGUGGAGGAACACCAGUGGCGAAGGCGACUCUCUGGUCUGUAACUGACGCUGAGGAGCGAGAGCGUGGGGAGCGAACAGGAUUAGAUACCCGUGUAGUCCCUGUCUCUUAUAA
RNAcentral lists this ribosomal RNA (301 nucleotides) under uncultured bacterium. RNAcentral's name for it is "partial 16S ribosomal RNA". It matches the Rfam family "Bacterial small subunit ribosomal RNA", at positions 509 to 809 of the family's 1533-position model. The record is from RNAcentral.